GAUGAACGCUGGCGGCGUGCCUAACACAUGCAAGUCGAGCGAUCUUCUUCGGAAGAGAGCGGCGGACGGGUGAGUAACGCGUGGGUAACCUGCCCUAUACACACGGAUAACAUACCGAAAGGUAUGCUAAUACGGGAUAAUGUAUGAAAGUCGCAUGGCUUUUAUAUCAAAGCUCCGGCGGUAUAGGAUGGACCCGCGUCUGAUUAGCUAGUUGGUAAGGUAACGGCUUACCAAGGCGACGAUCAGUAGCCGACCUGAGAGGGUGAUCGGCCACACUGGAACUGAGACACGGUCCAGACUCCUACGGAGGCAGCAGUGGGGAAUAUUGCACAAUGGGCGAAAGCCUGAUGCAGCAACGCCGCGUGAGCGAUGAAGGCCUUCGGGUCGUAAAGCUCUGUCCUCAAGGAAGAUAAUGACGGUACUUGAGGAGGAAGCCCCGGCUAACUACGUGCCAGCGCCG
Molecule: ribosomal RNA, 460 nt
Filed under: uncultured bacterium
Lineage: Bacteria
Description: bacterial SSU rRNA
Rfam family: Bacterial small subunit ribosomal RNA
Source: RNAcentral